UUCCUGUCUGCCUCCUCUGAGCUUCUCCUGCUGCUCCCCAGGAGUGUGACCACUCCAACAACGACCGUCUAGAGGGGGCUGAGAUCGAGGAGUUCCUGCGGCGGCUGCUGAAGCGGCCGGAGCUGGAGGAGAUCUUCCAUCAGUACUCGGGCGAGGACCGUGUGCUGAGUGCGCCCGAGCUGCUGGAGUUCCUGGAGGAGCAGGGCGAGGAGGGCGCCACACUGGCCCGCGCCCAGCAGCUCAUUCAGACCUACGAGCUCAACGAAACAGCCAAGCAGCAUGAGCUGAUGACACUGGAUGGCUUCAUGAUGUACCUGUUGUCUCCAGAGGGGGCUGCCUUGGACAACACCCACACGUGUGUGUUCCAGGACAUGAACCAGCCCCUCGCCCACUACUUCAUCUCUUCCUCCCACAACACCUAUCUGACCGACUCCCAGAUCGGGGGGCCCAGCAGCACCGAGGCCUACGUUAGGGCCUUUGCCCAGGGAUGCCGCUGCGUGGAGCUGGACUGCUGGGAGGGGCCAGGAGGGGAGCCCGUCAUCUAUCACGGCCAUA
This 555-nucleotide small RNA is filed under the name Pongo abelii (Sumatran orangutan). RNAcentral's name for it is "retained intron". Lineage: Eukaryota; Metazoa; Chordata; Mammalia; Primates; Hominidae. The record is from RNAcentral.